Molecule: long non-coding RNA, 306 nt
Filed under: Hordeum vulgare
Lineage: Eukaryota; Viridiplantae; Streptophyta; Magnoliopsida; Poales; Poaceae
Description: long non-coding RNA (HVUL_LNC019930)
Source: RNAcentral
AGAGACGUAGCUCUGAUAUCAAUUGAAAGGUUCGAUAUGGUUGACUAGAGGGGGUGAAUAGGAAACUACCAGUUUUUAGCUUAUCUUAACAAAUUAGCGUUAGCAACAAAAGGUUCUCUAUGUGAACAACUAGGUGAGAAACCUAGUUGAUGCUAACUACAAGGAUAACAAGUGCAGGCAAAGAAUACACCACAACAAUAACAACUGCAAAGUAAAGGUAAGAGAUAACCGCAAGUGGAACUGGUGAAGACGAGGAUGUGUUACCGAAGUUCCUUCCCUUUGACAGGAAGUACGUCUCCGUUGGAG